RNAcentral lists this ribosomal RNA (144 nucleotides) under uncultured Bacteroidota bacterium. RNAcentral's name for it is "uncultured Bacteroidetes bacterium partial 16S ribosomal RNA". It matches the Rfam family "Bacterial small subunit ribosomal RNA", at positions 382 to 524 of the family's 1533-position model. The record is from RNAcentral. Lineage: Bacteria; Pseudomonadati; Bacteroidota.
UCUGAUCAGCCAUGCCGCGUGCAGGAAGACGGCCCUAUGGGUUGUAAACUGCUUUUAUAUGGGAGCAAUAAGGUUUACGCGUAGACCGAUGAGAGUACCAUAUGAAUAAGCAUCGGCUAACUCCGUGCCAGCAGCCGCGGUAAU